This 165-nucleotide ribosomal RNA is filed under the name Mikania micrantha (bitter vine). Its description in RNAcentral is "5.8S ribosomal RNA". It matches the Rfam family "5.8S ribosomal RNA". From Rfam's summary of the family: 5.8S ribosomal RNA (5.8S rRNA) is a component of the large subunit of the eukaryotic ribosome. It is transcribed by RNA polymerase I as part of the 45S precursor that also contains 18S and 28S rRNA. The record is from RNAcentral. Lineage: Eukaryota; Viridiplantae; Streptophyta; Magnoliopsida; Asterales; Asteraceae.
AAAACAACUCUCGGCAACGGAUAUCUUGGCUCACGCAUCGAUGAAGAACGUAGCAAAAUGCGAUACUUGGUGUGAAUUGCAGAAUCCCGUGAACCAUCGAGUUUUUGAACGCAAGUUGCGCCCGAGGCCACUUGGCUGAGGGCACGUCUGCCUGGGUGUCACGCA